AGCGUAGGCGGGAUCGUAUGUCUGCCGUGAAAUCCACCGGCUCAACCGGUGAACUGCGGUAGAAACUGCGAUUCUUGAGUUCGGUAGAGGAAUGCGGAAUUCCUGGUGUAGCGGUGGAAUGCGUAGAUAUCAGGAAGAACACCGGUAGCGAAGGCGGCAUUCUGGGACGUAUCUGACGCUGAGGCUCGAAAGCCGGGGGAGCGAACAGGAUUAGAUACCCUGGUAGUCC
RNAcentral lists this ribosomal RNA (229 nucleotides) under uncultured bacterium. RNAcentral's name for it is "partial 16S ribosomal RNA". It matches the Rfam family "Bacterial small subunit ribosomal RNA", at positions 568 to 796 of the family's 1533-position model. The record is from RNAcentral.